UACGAAGGGGGCUAGCGUUGUUCGGAAUUCCUGGGCGUAAAGCGCGCGCAGGCGGUCUUCCAAGUCAGUGGUGAAAGCCUGGAGCUCAACUCCAGAACUGCCAUUGAAACUGUAGAGCUAGAGUAUCGGAGGGGAUAGCGGAAUUGCUAAUGUAGAGGUGAAAUUCGUAGAUAUUAGCAGGAACACCGGUGGCGAAGGCGGCGACCUGGUCCGAUACUGACGCUGAGGCGCGAAAGCGUGGGGAGCAAACAGG
RNAcentral lists this ribosomal RNA (253 nucleotides) under uncultured bacterium. RNAcentral describes it as "partial 16S ribosomal RNA". It matches the Rfam family "Bacterial small subunit ribosomal RNA", at positions 524 to 776 of the family's 1533-position model. The record is from RNAcentral.